UGCCGGUCCCCUCGCAACACGAAAUUGUGAAUCCCGCCAGGUCCGGAAGGAAGCAACGGCAGCAGUGGAUGUGUGUGCCGGGGUAGGGACGGUAUGG
RNAcentral lists this signal recognition particle RNA (97 nucleotides) under Pseudomonadota bacterium. RNAcentral describes it as "Proteobacteria bacterium signal recognition particle sRNA small type". It matches the Rfam family "Bacterial small signal recognition particle RNA". From Rfam's summary of the family: The signal recognition particle (SRP) is a universally conserved ribonucleoprotein involved in the co-translational targeting of proteins to membranes. The record is from RNAcentral. Lineage: Bacteria; Pseudomonadati; Pseudomonadota.